AUGGCCAUGAUGAAGGAGGUGCAUGCAACUCUGCUUCCACUUAGUGUCGAUAAAGAUGGAAUGGGGCUUGCAGAGAGAGAGAGAGAGAGAGAGAGAGAGAGAGAGAGAGAGAGAGAGAGAGAGAGAGAGAGAGAGAAACAGCAGCAGAUUGUAGCGCAAAAGGAACAUGCAUCUGUGGAUGGCAAUGUUGUGCUGCAAAAAACUACAGGUGAUGGUGAAUCCAGUUGCUCAGCUGUUGGGCUGAAUGAGAAGAAGAGGCAAAGGGGAAGGCCAACGACCAGCAGGGACAAGGCUCCGUAUGAGCAACAACUUAAGAGGCUGCGGUUUUGCACGAUCUGCAGAGAGCAGGGGCACAAAUGUACAACUUGUCGCAGCGAGGUGAUUUGCCGAAGGCUCCAAGAAGUUGCCGAAAUGCACAAACUGUGGUGUCGUCGGACAUGGGCGCAAUAA
RNAcentral lists this ribosomal RNA (450 nucleotides) under Triticum aestivum (bread wheat). RNAcentral describes it as "partial small subunit ribosomal RNA". Lineage: Eukaryota; Viridiplantae; Streptophyta; Magnoliopsida; Poales; Poaceae. The record is from RNAcentral.